Ceratotherium simum simum (southern white rhinoceros) is the source of this 645-nucleotide non-coding RNA. The record is from RefSeq and is a predicted model, not a curated record. Lineage: Eukaryota; Metazoa; Chordata; Mammalia; Perissodactyla; Rhinocerotidae.
AUUUAUUUUGACUGUUGUAUCCCCAGAUUAGUGGACGUUUAGGUUGUUUUCAGCUUUUGACAUUAUAAACAAUGCUACAGUAAACAAUAUUUUAGUUAUAUUUUUGCAUUCUGGAGUCAUUUCUUUAGAAUAUAUUCAUAGAAGUGAAAUUGACAGAUUAAACAAAUAAAACAUUACGUAUUUCCGCAGUUUUCCAGAUAGAUUGUAUCGAUUUAAAGUUGCACCAGCACUGUGUGAGGUUCUUUGUCCAUUUUUUUCUGUUGGUGUAUAUGUUAUUUUCCUAGAUUUAUAAGACUGCUUUUAUACGUCUUUUAACUUUAUUGUGUCUUUUGCAAUUCAGAUUUUAAAUUGUAUGUAAUCAAAAGUGUUGGUCUUUUACUUUUGAGUUCUUUAACUUUACGCUCUUAGGUUCUCUCUCACCCAAUCUCCAUCUGGAGUUUAUUUCUGUGUGUUGUAUAGGCAGGAAAUCGUGGUGUAAUUUUACUUUUCUCAAAAGGAUAACUAGUGAUCCUAGCACCAUUUAUUGAUUUGAAAGAUCUCCUUUAUAAUGAAGUAAGUCUCCCUCCCUAUGUACCUGGAUCUAUUUUGACUCAUUUAUCGAUGUGUUUAUUCUUAUUCCAGGACUAGAAUUUUUUUUUUUUUAAA